Long non-coding RNA from Mauremys mutica (yellowpond turtle), 1146 nucleotides. RefSeq lists it as uncharacterized. The transcript has 3 exons. The record is from RefSeq and is a predicted model, not a curated record. Lineage: Eukaryota; Metazoa; Chordata; Testudines; Geoemydidae.
GAAAAGAACUGUACAGCCCUUCUCUAGGUAGCUUCCUCCUACCCCCAAUAAGAGAGGGCAUCAGAAGUGACGGAGACUCCUGAAGUGGGUAUUAAUGUAGGGCAACUGAUAGACAGGAGGCCCUGGGUAUAGACUGGAGUAGACAUGGAGACUAGGGGCAAGACUCUAGAGAGUCCUGACAGUCAGUGUUCUGCAGAAGAAUAGAGAAGGGGGGAGGAUCCAGGCUGGACUAAAAGUUAAAGCUUAGGGAAAGGAUAGUAGUUGCUUUUGGUGUGGUGUCUUUUGUUUUGGGUCAGAGAUUCCAGAAGGCCUGAGGCUACUAAGGACAGAGGAGUGGAAUAGAACAGUGUCAGUGGGGUGCUGUCUGUGUGGAUUGCUGAUAUCCUCAAAGGGAGGGAACUAAUGUGACCUGCCCAGAAGGCUGAAUUGCAAGAAGAAAAGUCACUGCAUUGCAAGGCUGCUUUCUAGGAAAGAGCUACUGUGCCACACCUAGCUGUGAGGGGUCUGUCAGAGGUUAGGGGCCUAAGGCUUAGACCUGAUGGGAAGACAGUGUUGUGGUGAAAGGCAAGGCAGAGGAUGCAGCAGAAGCGAGGUUCCCCACUACUGACUGAAAUCACUAAGAAGUGGAUUAAAUGGUGGAACCUGAGACUGUGUCAUCACAACUAAAGAGCAGCAAGCAGCAGAAGCAACAAUGAUGUUAGUGGGCAGCAACAUUGACAGAGGUGGCAGCAACAGUGGGCAGCAGCAGCAACCUUCACUCCUCACAUGGGCGAGAGGUGAACACACCUGGACAUACCCUGAGAUUCUGGGAUUUCACUGAUCCAAGAGAACCAGCCCUAAGUGGCGUGUUAAAGGGGCUUUCGUCUAUUGGACUGUCACACUGCAAGGCGCUGAAGAGAGAAGUUAAGACAGCCUGAGGACACAGCACAGCAAACGCCAUGUACACAACGCAAACUGAGCACGAACUAGGGAGGUGGCCUUGUUUCCCCCGAGUUUGUUCCUGCAAUUCUAACUCCAAGACUUCUUUUAGCAUCAUUGUGAAACUGUUUCCAUCCUCAGCCACUGAUGCUGCAAAGUCAGAGGAAUCUGGCAAUUCUGGUUCCUGCAGCCGUUCCACACCUCACUCUCCCCUUCCGCAGUCACUUG